Molecule: ribosomal RNA, 465 nt
Filed under: Vreelandella stevensii
Lineage: Bacteria; Pseudomonadati; Pseudomonadota; Gammaproteobacteria; Oceanospirillales; Halomonadaceae
Description: partial 16S ribosomal RNA
Rfam family: Bacterial small subunit ribosomal RNA
Source: RNAcentral
CCUACGGGGGGCUGCAGUGGGGAAUAUUGGACAAUGGGGGAAACCCUGAUCCAGCCAUGCCGCGUGUGUGAAGAAGGCCCUCGGGUUGUAAAGCACUUUCAGUGAGGAAGAACGCCUGGUGGUUAAUACCCAUCAGGAAAGACAUCACUCACAGAAGAAGCACCGGCUAACUCCGUGCCAGCAGCCGCGGUAAUACGGAGGGUGCGAGCGUUAAUCGGAAUUACUGGGCGUAAAGCGCGCGUAGGUGGCUUGAUAAGCCGGUUGUGAAAGCCCCGGGCUCAACCUGGGAACGGCAUCCGGAACUGUCAAGCUAGAGUGCAGGAGAGGAAGGUAGAAUUCCCGGUGUAGCGGUGAAAUGCGUAGAGAUCGGGAGGAAUACCAGUGGCGAAGGCGGCCUUCUGGACUGACACUGACACUGAGGUGCGAAAGCGUGGGUAGCAAACAGGAUUAGAUACCCGAGUAGUC